This 74-nucleotide transfer RNA is filed under the name Candidatus Tremblayella phenacoccinincola. RNAcentral describes it as "Candidatus Tremblaya phenacola tRNA-Arg". It matches the Rfam family "tRNA". From Rfam's summary of the family: Transfer RNA (tRNA) molecules are approximately 80 nucleotides in length. The record is from RNAcentral. Lineage: Bacteria; Pseudomonadati; Pseudomonadota; Betaproteobacteria.
GCGCCCUUAGUUCAGUUGGACAGAACAACGGCCUUCUAAGCCGUAGAUCACUGGUUCGAGCCCAGUAGGGCGUG